CCUCUCCAGACCGCUCACCUCAGUUUCCUUCCAUUGUACAACCAGGGCAGUAAGCAUAAUUUUGCCUUAACUAUCUAUUCUAGACUCAAGUCUGGCCACAUAGCACUAAUGGACAAGCCAUACAUUUGGAGAGACUCCAAGAAAUCCAUCCCAAGCCCUGAAUGGUCCUGGCCCCAUUCCAGAAUUUUACAAACUUUCCACAAAUUGUGAUUCCAGACACGUUCAUACCUUGGCCCCCAGGAUAAUGGAAGCCACAAAAGAGACAGAAAUUAAAAUGUCAGCCCAGCUGGGUCCACAUUGUAGGCCAGUAAUUACAGUGGAACCCUUUGCCUCUUCGAUCACCUGAGUGGAGCACAUCUGUGCCUCCUGCAAAAAAGGAUAACAGAGUAAUUCAGAGCAGUUUUUUUUUUUUUUAAAGAUAUCCCUUAACUCAGUGUAAGUAGAGUGCGCUACUUAACAAUGGCAACUAAGGUUUUAAUAAGCCACAGGAAAACUUUUAAAAGCGAGGUGAGAAGCAGAGAUCAGCCUUCUGAUGAGCUUUGUAAUUCAGUGACCACUGUCAUCACUCAAGACCUAAAUUACCUGAAAUGUGUCAUCAAGGCCUCAGCAGCAAGUAAAAGAAAGCGUUGUUAUUCUCUGCCUGAGAAAAGAGUUACUGCCCAAACCUUUCAGCUACAGCAGAUUCUGAAGGACGAUUUGUAUGCCACGUCACUACGGAUAGGGAAAAGGAUGUCCACAGCCAAGGUGACAUCUGAGAGGUCAUAUACUUUGUGGGAUCAUGAUAGAAGUUCAAAACAUCAGCCUGAGAAAGGCACGCGGGGUCCUACACGGGUAGGUGCUCCUCUGUGUAGCAGAGAGCCGCCUUCCCGGGGCCACUGGGCUUUGUUCACUCACCAUCCCAGCUGGUCCUGUCAGCGGAGCGUGUCCUGUCUUUGCUCUGGUGAGAAGUAAGUGGAGUUCUGAGGUCCUCUACACUGAAGCCGACACUGGAGAAACUGGCGGGGUGGGGAGAGAAAGGGAAAGGGAGAUCGCAGGGGAUAGAGAGUCCUGAUGACAUUACUGGAGACAAUAAACUACCCACAACUUAGCUUCCCUGGUGGCUC
Molecule: long non-coding RNA, 1103 nt
Filed under: Bos indicus x Bos taurus (hybrid cattle)
Lineage: Eukaryota; Metazoa; Chordata; Mammalia; Artiodactyla; Bovidae
Description: lncRNA (ENSBIXG00005005654.1)
Source: RNAcentral